Molecule: transfer RNA, 72 nt
Filed under: Bos taurus (domestic cattle)
Lineage: Eukaryota; Metazoa; Chordata; Mammalia; Artiodactyla; Bovidae
Also listed under: 5 other names
Rfam family: tRNA
About the family: Transfer RNA (tRNA) molecules are approximately 80 nucleotides in length. Their secondary structure includes four short double-helical elements and three loops (D, anti-codon, and T loops). Further hydrogen bonds mediate the characteristic L-shaped molecular structure. tRNAs have two regions of fundamental functional importance: the anti-codon, which is responsible for specific mRNA codon recognition, and the 3' end, to which the tRNAs corresponding amino acid is attached (by aminoacyl-tRNA synthetases). tRNAs cope with the degeneracy of the genetic code in two manners: having more than one tRNA (with a specific anti-codon) for a particular amino acid; and 'wobble' base-pairing, i.e. permitting non-standard base-pairing at the 3rd anti-codon position.
Source: Rfam by way of RNAcentral
UCCCUUAUGGCUCAGAUGGUAAAGAAUCUGCCUAAAAUUCAGGAGACCCAGGUUCAAUUCCUGGUUUGGGAA